GGAAAUAAUUGUAAUUUUUUAAAUCUGAAAAGUGUCAAUCUAAUUUACCCAGCGAUGAAUUAUUUCUUCGCGGCGCUCUAAAUCCCAGCAGCAGCAGCUACUCCAAAAAAAUCUCCGCCAAAACCCUAGAAAAAUCGUCAUGGCCCCGAAGAAGGAAAAGGCUCCGCCAUCGUCGAAGCCAGCGAAAUCUGGCGGAGGAAAGCA
Molecule: non-coding RNA, 204 nt
Organism: Camellia sinensis
Lineage: Eukaryota; Viridiplantae; Streptophyta; Magnoliopsida; Ericales; Theaceae
Source: RefSeq, a predicted model, not a curated record